This 253-nucleotide ribosomal RNA is filed under the name uncultured bacterium. Its description in RNAcentral is "partial 16S ribosomal RNA". It matches the Rfam family "Bacterial small subunit ribosomal RNA", at positions 524 to 776 of the family's 1533-position model. The record is from RNAcentral.
UACGUAGGGUGCAAGCGUUGUCCGGAAUUAUUGGGCGUAAAGAGCUCGUAGGCGGUUUGUCGCGUCUGCUGUGAAAGUUCGGGGCUCAACCCCGGAACUGCAGUGGGUACGGGCAGACUAGAGUGCGAUAGAGGAGACUGGAAUUCCUGGUGUAGCGGUGGAAUGCGCAGAGAUCAGGAGGAACACCAGUGGCGAAGGCGGGUCUCUGGGCCGCAACUGACGCUGAGGAGCGAAAGAGUGGGGAGCGAACAGG